AGUGAACGCUGGCGGUAGGCCUAACACAUGCAAGUCGAACGGCAGCACAGUAAGAGCUUGCUCUUACGGGUGGCGAGUGGCGGACGGGUGAGGAAUACAUCGGAAUCUACUUUUUCGUGGGGGAUAACGUAGGGAAACUUACGCUAAUACCGCAUACGACCUACGGGUGAAAGCAGGGGAUCUUCGGACCUUGCGCGAUUGAAUGAGCCGAUGUCGGAUUAGCUAGUUGGCGGGGUAAAGGCCCACCAAGGCGACGAUCCGCAGCUGGUCUGAGAGGAUGAUCAGCCACACUGGAACUGAGACACGGUCCAGACUCCUACGGGAGGCAGCAGUGGGGAAUAUUGGACAAUGGGCGCAAGCCUGACCCAGCCAUACCGCGUGGGUGAAGAAGGCCUUCGGGUUGUAAAGCCCUUUUGUUGGGAAAGAAAAGCAGCAGGUUAAUACCCCGCUGUUCUGACGGUACCCAAAGAAUGAGCACCGGCUAACUUCGUG
RNAcentral lists this ribosomal RNA (492 nucleotides) under uncultured bacterium. Its description in RNAcentral is "partial 16S ribosomal RNA". It matches the Rfam family "Bacterial small subunit ribosomal RNA", at positions 29 to 507 of the family's 1533-position model. The record is from RNAcentral.